AUUGAACGCUGGCGGCAGGCCUAACACAUGCAAGUCGAACGGAGUGGCGGACGGGUGAGGAAUACAUCGGAAUCUACUCUGUCGUGGGGGAUAACGUAGGGAAACUUACGCUAAUACCGCAUACUAUCAGAUGAGCCUAGGUCGGAUUUGCUAGUUGGUGGGGUAAAGGCCUACCAAGGCGACGAUCCGUAACUGGUCUGAGAGGAUGAUCAGCCACACUGGAACUGAGACACGGUCCAGCCCCCUUCGAGAGGAAGCAGUGGGGAAUAUUGGACAAUGGGCGAAAGCCUGAUCCAGCCAUGCCGCGUGUGUGAAGAAGGUCUUCGGAUUGUAAAGCACUUUAAGUUGGGAGGCGUUACCAACAGAAUAAGCACCGGCUAACUUCGUGCCAGCCGCCGCGGUAAUAC
This 407-nucleotide ribosomal RNA is filed under the name uncultured bacterium. RNAcentral's name for it is "partial 16S ribosomal RNA". It matches the Rfam family "Bacterial small subunit ribosomal RNA", at positions 30 to 526 of the family's 1533-position model. The record is from RNAcentral.